Molecule: ribosomal RNA, 254 nt
Filed under: uncultured bacterium
Lineage: Bacteria
Description: partial 16S ribosomal RNA
Rfam family: Bacterial small subunit ribosomal RNA
Source: RNAcentral
UACGUAGGGUGCAAGCGUUGUCCGGAAUUAUUGGGCGUAAAGAGCUUGUAGGCGGUUUGUCGCGUCUGCUGUGAAAUUUCGGGGCUCAACCCCGAACUUGCAGUGGGUACGGGCAGACUAGAGUGUGGUAGGGGAGACGUGGAAUUCCUGGUGUAGCGGUGAAAUGCGCAGAUAUCAGGAGGAACACCGAUGGCGAAGGCAGGUCUCUGGGCCAUAACUGACGCUGAGAAGCGAAAGCAUGGGGAGCGAACAGG